This 460-nucleotide ribosomal RNA is filed under the name uncultured bacterium. RNAcentral's name for it is "partial 16S ribosomal RNA". It matches the Rfam family "Bacterial small subunit ribosomal RNA", at positions 338 to 795 of the family's 1533-position model. The record is from RNAcentral.
CCUACGGGAGGCAGCAGUGAGGAAUAUUGGUCAAUGGCCGUAAGGCUGAACCCGCCAAGUCGCGUGAAGGAAGCAGGAUCUAUGGUUUGUAAACUUCUUUUAUAUGGGAAUAAAACGUUCCACGUGUGGCAUUUUGUAUGUACCAUAUGAAUAAGGAUCGGCUAACUCCGUGCCAGCAGCCGCGGUAAUACUGAGGAUCCGAGCGUUAUCCGGAUUUAUUGGGUUUAAAGGGAGCGUAGGUGGUUUGUUAAGUUAGUUGUGAAAGUUUGCGGCUCAACCGUAAAAUUGCAGUUGAAACUGGCAGUCGUGAGUACAGUAGAGGUGGGCGGAAUUCGUGGUGUAGCGGUGAAAUGCUUAGAUAUCACGAAGAACUCCGAUUGCGAAGGCAGGUCACUGAACUGCAACUGACACUGAGGCUCGAAAGUGUGGGUAUCAAACAGGAUUAGAUACCCGUGUAGUC